This 218-nucleotide ribosomal RNA is filed under the name uncultured bacterium. Its description in RNAcentral is "partial 16S ribosomal RNA". It matches the Rfam family "Bacterial small subunit ribosomal RNA", at positions 328 to 539 of the family's 1533-position model. The record is from RNAcentral.
ACGCUCGACACCUACGAGAGGCAGCAGUGAGGAAUAUUGGUCAAUGGGCGCUAGCCUGAACCAGCCAAGUAGCGUGAAGGAUGAAGGCUCUAUGGGUCGUAAACUUCUUUUAUAUAAGAAUAAAGUGCAGUAUGUAUACUGUUUUGUAUGUAUUAUAUGAAUAAGGAUCGGCUAACUCCGUGCCUGCAGCCGCGGUAAUCUGAGCGGGCUGGCAAGGC